This 334-nucleotide unclassified non-coding RNA is filed under the name soil metagenome. RNAcentral describes it as "partial contains 5.8S ribosomal RNA, internal transcribed spacer 2, and large subunit ribosomal RNA". The stretch from base 1 to 120 matches the Rfam family "5.8S ribosomal RNA", at positions 35 to 154 of the family's 154-position model. The record is from RNAcentral.
GAUGAAGAACGCAGCGAAAUGCGAUAAGUAAUGUGAAUUGCAGAAUUCAGUGAAUCAUUGAAUCUUUGAACGCACAUUGCGCCCGCCAGUAUUCUGGCGGGCAUGCCUGUUCGAGCGUCAUUUCAACCAUCAAGCCCCAGGCUUGUGUUGGAGCCCUGCGGCUGCCGCAGCCUCCCAAAACCAGUGGCGGGCUCGCUAUCACACCGAGUGCAGUAGUUUACUCUUCGCUCAGGGCGUGUGGCGGGUGCUAGCCGUAAAACCCCCAACUUCUCAAGGUUGACCUCGGAUCAGGUAGGAAUACCCGCUGAACUUAAGCAUAUCAAUAAGCGGAGGA